Molecule: ribosomal RNA, 466 nt
Filed under: uncultured bacterium
Lineage: Bacteria
Description: partial 16S ribosomal RNA
Rfam family: Bacterial small subunit ribosomal RNA
Source: RNAcentral
GCUUCCCUCUGGCGGCGUGCUUAACACAUGCAAGUCGAACGGUGAAGCCAAGCUUGCUUGGUGGAUCAGUGGCGAACGGGUGAGUAACACGUGAGCAACCUGCCCUGGACUCUGGGAUAAGCGCUGGAAACGGCGUCUAAUACUGGAUAUGAGCCUCUUCCGCAUGGUGGGGGUUGGAAAGAUUUUUUGGUCUGGGAUGGGCUCGCGGCCUAUCAGCUUGUUGGUGAGGUAAUGGCUCACCAAGGCGUCGACGGGUAGCCGGCCUGAGAGGGUGACCGGCCACACUGGGACUGAGACACGGCCCAGACUCCUACGGGAGGCAGCAGUGGGGAAUAUUGCACAAUGGGCGGAAGCCUGAUGCAGCAACGCCGCGUGAGGGAUGACGGCCUUCGGGUUGUAAACCUCUUUUAGCAGGGAAGAAGCGAAAGUGACGGUACCUGCAGAAAAAGCGCCGGCUAACUACGUG